This 254-nucleotide ribosomal RNA is filed under the name uncultured bacterium. Its description in RNAcentral is "partial 16S ribosomal RNA". It matches the Rfam family "Bacterial small subunit ribosomal RNA", at positions 524 to 776 of the family's 1533-position model. The record is from RNAcentral.
GACGAACCGUGCGAACGUUAUUCGGAAUCACUGGGCUUAAAGCGCGUGUAGGCGGGAGGGAACGUCGGCCGCUGAAAUCCCCCGGCUUAACCGGGGAAGUGGCGCCGAUACGGCCGUCCUGGAGGGACGUAGGGGGAGCUGGAACUUCCGGUGGAGCGGUGAAAUGCGUUGAGACCCGGAGGAACACCAGUGGCGAAGGCGGCUUCCUGGUCUGCGACUGACGCUGUGGCGCGAAAGCUAGGGGAGCAAACGGG